GCAUAUCAAUAAGCGGAGGAAAAGAAACCAACAGGGAUUACCUCAGUAACGGCGAGUGAAGCGGUAACAGCUCAAAUUUGAAAUCUGGCCCUUUCAGGGUCCGAGUUGUAAUUUGUAGAAGAUGCUUUGGGUGUGGCUCCGGUCUAAGUUCCUUGGAACAGGACGUCAUAGAGGGUGAGAAUCCCGUAUGUGACUGGCUGCCUCCGCCCGUGUAAAGCUCUUUCGACGAGUCGAGUUGUUUGGGAAUGCAGCUCAAAAUGGGUGGUAAAUUUCAUCUAAAGCUAAAUAUUGGCCAGAGACCGAUAGCGCACAAGUAGAGUGAUCGAAAGAUGAAAAGCACUUUGGAAAGAGAGUUAAACAGUACGUGAAAUUGUUGAAAGGGAAGCGCUUGCAAUCAGACUUGCGCGCGGUCGAUCAUCCGGGGUUCUCCCCGGUGCACUCGGCCGCGCUCAGGCCAGCAUCGGUUUUGGUGGUGGGAUAAAGGCCUUGGGAAUGUGGCUCCUCUCGGGGAGUGUUAUAGCCCUCGGUGCAAUGCCGCCUACCGGGACCGAGGACCGCGCUUCGGCUAGGAUGCUGGCGUAAUGGUUGCAAGCGACCCGUCUUGAAACACGGACCAAGGAGUCUAACAUUUAUGCGAGUGUUUGGGUGUUAAACCCAUACGCGGAAUGAAAGUGAACGGAGGUGAGAACCCUUAAGGGUGCAUCAUCGACCGAUCCUGAUGUCUUCGGAUGGAUUUGAGUAAGAGCAUAACUGUUGGGACCCGAAAGAUGGUGAACUAUGCCUGAAUAGGGUGAAGCCAGAGGAAACUCUGGUGGAGGCUCGCAGCGGUUCUGACGUGCAAAUCGAUCGUCAAAUUUGGGUAUUAGGGGGCGAAAGACUAAUCGAAAUCAUCUAGUAGCUGGCUCUGCGAG
Molecule: ribosomal RNA, 911 nt
Filed under: Calycina fungorum
Lineage: Eukaryota; Fungi; Ascomycota; Leotiomycetes; Helotiales
Description: LSU rRNA
Rfam family: Eukaryotic large subunit ribosomal RNA
Source: RNAcentral